UCUUAUGACCCCAACGCUGCUCUGGGAAACUACGCUGCUUGGAACACUUAACUACACAGAUGCCUGCCGUCUUUUGUUUUUGAACCAGCUGGAACUUUUGCUAACUUGGAAUAUCCACUGGGACGAACAUUUGCUUGCUUGGGAAUACUCGUUCAACAUUGCGUGUCCUUUCUUAUGGUGCUACACCAGUGUCUCCUACUGGAUAGUUUGUGGUCCGACAUAGACAACAGUCAGGGUCGCCACUGCUUUUCAUCUCAGAUGAACGCACAUAUUUGUCUGGCACAAUUUUUACGCCGGAUGCCCUUCCUGACACAACCCUUCUCAGGGAGUGGAGACCCCAGUGGGAUACGAAUCCACAACCCCUGGUUUACCAAACCAAUGCUCUAACCACUGAGCAACAGGGCACAUUAUUUUUGAGAAAUUACCGUACUUUAUUGAGGUAUUUACAUUGGUAAAAUCUUAACUUCCCCAUUGAACUUGAAUGUAAUACUCUUACAUUGUGUAUAAAUAUGUUUCUCUCAUAACAUUUUCACUGAAUGCUUAUUUGCUUUGUUAAUAUGAGCAUCUUGAGGCCACCUGAGGUUGAAAUACAUGUUGCAGUAUUCUCUCUACUGUCAGAAAGAUAUAUUUUCCUUUUUCGUGAGCAGGCACUUCAUCAUUCUGACAACUUUUGUACUGAACCAAAGAUGGAGAUUCAGCAUUUGCCUGUUCGAUGUCAAUCUCUUGUGCAGAAGAUGCUUCCUGCAACUUCUGUAAUUAAUAUAGAGAAAUAAGGUUAAAAGUUUAUAAAAUGAGAAAAAAAUGUAUGAAUAAAGCACAGGUUUUAUUUCAUGGUGCACAAAUUAUUUUUGAUAAGUUGCACACAGGUCUCCUAUUCUAUGAGUGACUAGUAUGUAAUACUACUUGUUUUAAUGCUCUAUAGUAUAUUAUUAAAAUAAAACACACUGCACAAAUAAAUAAACACACAAAUAAAAGGUUUGUAUCAAACUAUCCAUUUUCUCAGCUCCUUAUCCUAACAAGAGUCAUGGGAGUGCUGGAGCCUAUCCCAGCUAUCAACGGGCAAGAGGCAGGGUACACCCUGGUUGCCAGCCAAUCGCAGGGCACAUGAAGAAAAGUCACACUCACAAUCACACCCAGGGGCAAUUUCGAGUGUCCAAUUAAUGUUGCAUGUUUUCUGGAUGUGGGAGGAAACUGGAAUGCCCAGAGAAAACUCACGCAGGCAC
Molecule: long non-coding RNA, 1223 nt
Organism: Syngnathoides biaculeatus (alligator pipefish)
Lineage: Eukaryota; Metazoa; Chordata; Actinopteri; Syngnathiformes; Syngnathidae
Exons: 3
Source: RefSeq, a predicted model, not a curated record